ACUGUUUACAUGGGUGGAUAGUGAUAGGGCAAAGGAGAAUGGUUUUAAUCUGAGACAGGGGAAGUUUAGGUUAGAUGUUAGGAGGAAGUUUUUCACACAGAGGGUGGUGAUGCACUGGAACAGGUUGCCCAGAGAGGUUGUAGAUGCUCUGUCCUUGGAGGCAUUCAAGGCCAGGCUGGAUGUGGCUCUGUGCAGCCUGGUCUAGUGGCUGAUGACGCUGCACACAGCAGGGGGGUUGAAACUAGAUGAUCUUUGAAGUCUUUUUCAACCCAGGCCAUUCUAUGAUUCUAUGAUUCCGAUAUGUUAGAAACUUGAGGAGAUCCAAUCGACCUGUGAGGAUAGGGAAAUUAAAGUGGAAGAGAACUAGCAAGUACAUAGAAUUGUAGAAUAUCAUGAAUUGGAAGACACCCACAAAGAUCAUGGAGUUCAACUUCUGGCUCCACACACGACUACUCAAAAUUCAGAAAUUUACAGUGGUUACAACUAGUGGUAUCUGUGCAACCCAUUUUUUUUUUCUUUUGGACAUUAGCAGUUGACCUCUGAUUUCUACCUCCUGCUGAGAUAGACAUAUUUUUGUUUCUUAAUCAGAAGAAACUACAUGAAAACAGGAGAGCCUCAUGAGGCUGGUGAUGCAGCUGCCUGUGAGAAGAGCUGUUUAUUCUUAAAAGGUGUUUCAAUUCUUCUUAAUGACAUUUUUAAUUUUUCUUCUAGGGACUUAGAGACAAAUGUUCUACCUUAGACAUGCCACAGGCAGCAGCCUGAGACUGAGGAAACCUCUACACCCUGCCUUCACUCUGCAGCUGAUAACCAGCCAGACUCAACCUGACUCACACCGCAGCAGAGACAGUCUGAAGGGUAACAUUAAAAAGCAGCUUCAUCAAGGUGAGCACAUUGAUUUUGACUACCAGAAUUGUUACUUCUGCAGUGUAGAUGCAUGGCUGCUACACAGUGUACCAGAGGGACACGAGGAGCCAUGGUGAAGCAUCUCAUCUUACAGAGCAGGCAUUUCCAGCAGAAAGGAAA
This 1023-nucleotide long non-coding RNA is filed under the name Numida meleagris (helmeted guineafowl). RNAcentral's name for it is "lncRNA (ENSNMEG00000022092.1)". Lineage: Eukaryota; Metazoa; Chordata; Aves; Galliformes; Numididae. The record is from RNAcentral.